AGCGAACGUUUGCGGCGGGCUUAACACAUGCAAGUCGAACGAGAAUCCCUUCGGGGAGGAAAGUGGCGCACGGGUGCGUAACACGUGGAUAACCAACCCAUUGGUUUGGGACAACACCGGGAAACUGGUGCUAAUACCAGAUGUGUCGCAGCUGUCUUCAGGCGGUUGCGAGAAAGGCCCGCAAGGGUCGCCAACGGACGGGUCCGCGUCCCAUCAGCUAGUUGGUGAGGUAAUGGCUCACCAAGGCAAAGACGGGUAGCUGGUCUGAGAGGAUGAUCAGCCACACUGGAACUGAGACACGGUCCAGACUCCUACGGGAGGCAGCAGUGGGGAAUAUUGCGCAAUGGGCGAAAGCCUGACGCAGCCACGCCGCGUGAGCGAUGAAGGUCUUCGGAUCGUAAAGCUCUGUGGGGGGAGAAGAAGAAAGCGGUGAAGAGCCGGCCCUGACGGUAUCCCCUUAGCAAGCACCGGCUAACUCCGUGCCAGCAGCCGCGGU
Molecule: ribosomal RNA, 496 nt
Filed under: uncultured bacterium
Lineage: Bacteria
Description: bacterial SSU rRNA
Rfam family: Bacterial small subunit ribosomal RNA
Source: RNAcentral